GACGAACGCUGGCGGCGCGCUUAACACAUGCAAGUCGAGCGAGAACCAGGGCUUCGGCUCUGGGGACAGCGGCGAACGGGUGAGUAACACGUGAGUAAUCUGCCCUCGACACUGGGAUAGCCCGGGGAAACCCGGAUUAAUACCGGAUAGCCUUUCGAGCUCUCGGGCUCGUCAGAAAAGGAUGGCUUCGGCUUUCGGUUGAGGAUGAGCUUGCGGCGGAUUAGCUUGUUGGUGAGGAACGGCUCACCAAGGCGACAAUCCGUAGCUGGUCUGAGAGGACGAUCAGCCACACUGGGACUGAGACACGGCCCAGACUCCUACGGGAGGCAGCAGUGGGGAAUCUUGCGCAAUGGGCGAAAGCCUGACGCAGCGACGCCGCGUGGGGGAUGAAGGCCUCGGUU
This 401-nucleotide ribosomal RNA is filed under the name uncultured bacterium. RNAcentral describes it as "bacterial SSU rRNA". It matches the Rfam family "Bacterial small subunit ribosomal RNA", at positions 28 to 424 of the family's 1533-position model. The record is from RNAcentral.